CCUACGGGGGGCAGCAGUAGGGAAUAUUGGACAAUGGGCGAAAGCCUGAUCCAGCCAUGCCGCGUGAGUGACGAAGGUCUUCGGACUGUAAAGCUCUUUUCUGAGGGAAGAACAUCCGGGUGAGGAAAUGCACCCGGCUUGACGGUACCUCAGGAAUAAGGGACGGCUAACUCCGUGCCAGCAGCCGCGGUAAUACGGAGGUCCCAAGCGUUGUUCGGAAUUACUGGGCGUAAAGGGAGCGCAGGCGGACAGGUAAGUCUAAAGUGGAAGCCCGGGGCUCAACCUCGGAAGGUCUUUGGAUACUGCCUGUCUUGAGUUUGUCAGAGGAAAGCGGAAUUCAGGGUGUAGCGGUGAAAUGCUUAGAUAUCCUGAGGAACACCAAUGGCGAAAGCAGCUUUCUGGGGCAAAACUGACGCUGAGGCUCGAAAGCGUGGGUAGCAAACGGGAUUAGAUACCCCUGUAGUC
Molecule: ribosomal RNA, 465 nt
Filed under: uncultured bacterium
Lineage: Bacteria
Description: bacterial SSU rRNA
Rfam family: Bacterial small subunit ribosomal RNA
Source: RNAcentral